Molecule: ribosomal RNA, 254 nt
Filed under: uncultured bacterium
Lineage: Bacteria
Description: partial 16S ribosomal RNA
Rfam family: Bacterial small subunit ribosomal RNA
Source: RNAcentral
CACGUAGGGUGCGAGCGUUGUCCGGAAUUAUUGGGCGUAAAGAGCUCGUAGGCGGUGUGUCGCGUCGGCCGUGAAAACCUGCAGCUUAACUGUGGGCUUGCGGUCGAUACGGGCAUCACUGGAGUUCGGCAGGGGAGACUGGAAUUCCUGGUGUAGCGGUGAAAUGCGCAGAUAUCAGGAGGAACACCGAUGGCGAAGGCAGUUCUCUGGGCCGUAACUGACGCUGAGGAGCGAAAGCGUGGGGAGCGAACAGG